GAACAGCGGCGCAGUAUCCUAGUCAGAUCUGCCGUCUUCUGAAGAGGGGCCUAAAAAUCCCUAAAAGGGCACAACUGUGAAACCUCUGGUGCUUGCUUCUUACGCCCAGUUUGGGGUGGGUGCUGGAAGGGAGGCGCGGCCAGUCACCGCGCCUGCGGCCGUAGGGCGCCCUCCAAUGGCAUGGAGGACCCGACCCUGCGGUCGUGGAGACCUGCUGUUGUGCACAGGCGUACUCCCUUUGUGGUUAGCGACCUGUGUACGAAGCAGAUUGCGAACCUGCAUCGCGGUGCUACCCGGCUUUAUGCCGUGAACGCUGUGUGCAGAGUAGCCUGCCUUGCGUGGGCAGGGUGGAUGGGAGAGUCAACGCGUCAUGUCCCCGGCCAGGGACGCAGCGCUAUUUCCCUGAAACCCUGUUUGCAAAAGAGGAUAAGAGACGGUUUGACUGUGGUGGAAAUCACCUAGGCUGUCCUGAGAGGGGGCGCCGGAAGGAUUGCAGUGCGGACUAAGUGGCAGUCGGGUAUCGCGGCGGGCAACACCGCGACACAGCACCGAAGGGGAAACCACCUGCAUCGGCGACGAGAGGUGUGCUGCGGGGAAAUCCAACCCGUACCUAAGCCGCAAGAUUUACUUCCGGAGUCGCCC
This 642-nucleotide small RNA is filed under the name human gut metagenome. The record is from RNAcentral. RNAcentral also lists the same sequence under 1 other name.